UGCUGUGAACUCGAAGAGUAGGGCGGGACACGUGGUAUCCUGUCUGAAUAUGGGGGGACCAUCCUCCAAGGCUAAAUACUCCUGACUGACCGAUAGUGAACCAGUACCGUGAGGGAAAGGCGAAAAGAACCCCGGCGAGGGGAGUGAAAAAGAACCUGAAACCGUGUACGUACAAGCAGUGGGAGCCUCUUUAUGGGGUGACUGCGUACCUUUUGUAUAAUGGGUCAGCGACUUAUAUUCUGUAGCAAGGUUAACCGUAUAGGGGAGCCGAAGGGAAACCGAGUCUUAACUGGGCGUUAAGUUGCAGGGUAUAGACCCGAAACCCGGUGAUCUAGCCAUGGGCAGGUUGAAGGUUGGGUAACACUAACUGGAGGACCGAACCGACUAAUGUUGAAAAAUUAGCGGAUGACCUGUGGCUGGGGGUGAAAGGCCAAUCAAACCGGGAGAUAGCUGGUUCUCCCCGAAAGCUAUUUAGGUAGCGCCUCGUGAACUCAUCUUCGGGGGUAGAGCACUGUUUCGGCUAGGGGGCCAUCCCGGCUUACCAACCCGAUGCAAACUACGAAUACCGAAGAAUGUUAUCACGGGAGACACACGGCGGGUGCUAACGUCCGUCGUGAAGAGGGAAACAACCCAGACCGCCAGCUAAGGUCCCAAAGUCAUGGUUAAGUGGGAAACGAUGUGGGAAGGCACAGACAGCCAGGAUGUUGGCUUAGAAGCAGCCAUCAUUUAAAGAAAGCGUAAUAGCUCACUGGUCGAGUCGGCCUGCGCGGAAGAUGUAACGGGGCUAAACCAUGCACCGAAGCUGCGGCAGCGACACUAUGUGUUGUUGGGUAGGGGAGCGUUCUGUAAGCCGUUGAAGGUGUGCUGUGAGGCAUGCUGGAGGUAUCAGAAGUGCGAAUGCUGACAUAAGUAACGAUAAAGCGGGUGAAAAGCCCGCUCGCCGGAAGACCAAGGGUUCCUGUCCAACGUUAAUCGGGGCAGGGUGAGUCGACCCCUAAGGCGAGGCCGAAAGGCGUAGUCGAUGGGAAACAGGUUAAUAUUCCUGUACUUGGUGUUACUGCGAAGGGGGGACGGAGAAGGCUAUGUCAGCCGGGCGACGGUUGUCCCGGUUUAAGCAUGUAGGCGGAGGUUCCAGGUAAAUCCGGUACCUUAUUAACGCUGAGGUGUGAUGACGAGGCACUACGGUGCUGAAGUGAUAAAUGCCCUGCUUCCAGGAAAAGCCUCUAAGCAUCAGGUAACACGAAAUCGUACCCCAAACCGACACAGGUGGUCAGGUAGAGAAUACCAAGGCGCUUGAGAGAACUCGGGUGAAGGAACUAGGCAAAAUGGUGCCGUAACUUCGGGAGAAGGCACGCUGAUAUGUAGGUGAAGCCCCUGCGGGCGGAGCUGAAAUCAGUCGAAGAUACCAGCUGGCUGCAACUGUUUAUUAAAAACACAGCACUGUGCAAACACGAAAGUGGACGUAUACGGUGUGACGCCUGCCCGGUGCCGGAAGGUUAAUUGAUGGGGUUAGCGGCAACGCGAAGCUCUUGAUCGAAGCCCCGGUAAACGGCGGCCGUAACUAUAACGGUCCUAAGGUAGCGAAAUUCCUUGUCGGGUAAGUUCCGACCUGCACGAAUGGCGUAAUGAUGGCCAGGCUGUCUCCACCCGAGACUCAGUGAAAUUGAACUCGCUGUGAAGAUGCAGUGUACCCGCGGCAAGACGGAAAGACCCCGUGAACCUUUACUAUAGCUUGACACUGAACACUGGUCCUUGAUGUGUAGGAUAGGUGGGAGGCUUUGAAGCGUGGACGCCAGUCUGCGUGGAGCCAACCUUGAAAUACCACCCUUUAAUGGCUGGUGUUCUAACGUGGACCCGUNNNNNNNNNNNCCGGGUUGCGGACAGUGUCUGGUGGGUAGUUUGACUGGGGCGGUCUCCUCCCAAAGAGUAACGGAGGAGCACGAAGGUUGGCUAAUCCUGGUCGGACAUCAGGAGGUUAGUGCAAUGGCAUAAGCCAGCUUGACUGCGAGCGUGACGGCGCGAGCAGGUGCGAAAGCAGGUCAUAGUGAUCCGGUGGUUCUGAAUGGAAGGGCCAUCGCUCAACGGAUAAAAGGUACUCCGGGGAUAACAGGCUGAUACCGCCCAAGAGUUCAUAUCGACGGCGGUGUUUGGCACCUCGAUGUCGGCUCAUCACAUCCUGGGGCUGAAGUAGGUCCCAAGGGUAUGGCUGUUCGCCAUUUAAAGUGGUACGCGAGCUGGGUUUAGAACGUCGUGAGACAGUUCGGUCCCUAUCUGCCGUGGGCGCUGGAGAAUUGAGGGGGGCUGCUCCUAGUACGAGAGGACCGGAGUGGACGCAUCACUGGUGUUCGGGUUGUCAUGCCAAUGGCACUGCCCGGUAGCUAAAUGCGGAAGAGAUAAGUGCUGAAAGCAUCUAAGCACGAAACUUGCCCCGAGAUGAGUUCUCCCUGAGACUUUAAGUCUCCUGAAGGAACGUUGAAGACGACGACGUUGAUAGGUCGGGUGUGUAAGCGCAGCGAUGCGUUGAGCUAACCGAUACUAAUGAACCGUGAGGCUUAACCUU
This 2560-nucleotide ribosomal RNA is filed under the name Enterobacter cloacae. RNAcentral describes it as "bacterial LSU rRNA". It matches the Rfam family "Bacterial large subunit ribosomal RNA", at positions 395 to 2925 of the family's 2925-position model. The record is from RNAcentral. Lineage: Bacteria; Pseudomonadati; Pseudomonadota; Gammaproteobacteria; Enterobacterales; Enterobacteriaceae.